CACCUGCGGCAUAUGGAUAUUCCCAGGCUAGGGAUCAAAUCAGAGCUUCAGCUGCUGGCCUAUGCCAUAGCCACAGCCUUGUGGGAUCUGAGCCGCAUCUGUGACCCAUACCACAGCUCAGGGCAACCCUGGAUCCCUAACCCACGAAGCAAGGCCAGGGCUUGAACCCACAUCCUCAUGGAUCCUAGUUGGGUUUGUUAACCACUGAGCCAUGAAGGGAACUUCCUGCUUUUAUUUUAAAGUCAUGAAGGAGUAUUGAAUAUUAUUAAAUGCUUUUUCUGCAUCUGCUGAGAUACCCUGGAUUUUCUCUUUUAAAUAACCAUUAAUGUAGUAGCUAAUGACUACAGAAUUUAAUGGAAUGGGCCAAGACAGUGUACCCGGAAACCAUCACCUACAUCUGAUCCUUGUAUAAGCCCAAUUCAUCAAAAGUGUUUUCUAUUCAGACCUAGUUGUUCUGCCAUGGGGUUUGGGGUGGGAGUCUGUUAGAGCACUUAGUAUUUGGUACAAACAAACAUGGAAUUUAAGCCUAAAACCCUUUAACUUGAAGGUCAUUGAGAUUUCCAUUUUUAUAUACCAUGGAACCAAAUCUUGAAAACUAUUAAAAUUAUUGUCUUUUUCAGUAUCUUGAUCAUCGGAAUGUGACCAAUCAGGGAGUUCCCGUCAUGGCUCAGGAGAAACAAAUCUGACUAGCACCCAUGAGGACACAGGUUUGAGCCCUGGCCUUGCUCAGUGGGUUAAGAAUCCGGCAUUGUCGUGAGCUGUGGUGUAGGUCAAAGAUGCGGCUCGGAUCCCAUGUUGCUGUGGCUGUGGUGGAGGCUGGCAGCUGCAGCUAGCUACAAAUUUGACCCUUAGCCUGGGAAUUUCCAUAUGCCGUGGGUGUGGCCCUAAAAAGACAAAAAAAAAAAAAAAGAAUGUGACCACUCAGAGAAUCCACAGGCAGAAAGGACCUGUGAUGCACUGAACUGUGCCCCCCCACCCCAUUUCACAUGUUGAAGUCCUAACCACCAGUAUACCUUAGAACGUGACUGUAUUUAAGAAAUAGGGCCUUGGGAUGGUUAAUUUAAAGUUAACUUGACUGGCCACAGGAUGCUCAGAUUAAACAUGAUUUCUGGGCGUGUCCGUGCAGUGUUUCUGCAAGAGAUGAACAUCUGAGGCAGUGGACUCAGGAAAGCAGACGGCCCUCCCAAAGGUGGGUGGGCCUCGUUCAACCCAUUGAGGGUCUGAGCAGAACAAGAGGCAGAGGAAAGCUGGAGCCAUCUACCCUUUCCUCCUGCCUCACUGAUUAGGCUGGAACAUCUCAUCUCACCUUCUCCAGCUCUUGGACUGGGAUUUACACUAUUGGCUUCCCUGGGACUCAGACUAAAUUACACCACCAGCUCUCCUGGGCAUCCGGCAGAUCCCAGAAUGUCACAGCCUCACUGGCAACUCCUCAUAAUACAUGUGCAUCUACAACUACAUGUGUGUGUGUGUUCUGUUUCCUUGGAGAACCCUGACUCACAAGGCCUUUGAAAGGCUGACUAAGGUUAAAUGAAGUUAAACAGGUGGUUCCUAAUCCUAUAAGACCAGUGUCCUUCAGGGAAGAACAAGAGACACCAGGGAGGUACCACAAAGGAAAGGCCGUGUGAGUACACAGUGAGACUGCCCUCUCCAAGCCCCGCAGAGGGGCCUCCGUGGAAACCAACCCAGUCAACACCCUAACCUUGGACUUCCAUCCUCCAGAACAGUGAGAAAAAAAAAAUUGCUACUGUUGAAGCCAUCCAGUCUAUGGUAUUUUGUUAUAACAGUCCUAGCAAACCAUUAGAGGAGCUUACUCAGGAUUCCUGGUUUUCCUUAUUCCUAAAAUGACCUGUUCUUCUUGUCUUCAUGGGGAAUUCAGCCAUCCUUCAGGGCCACUCAAAUGUCACCGCUUCCAUGAAACUUGCCCUAAUUUUCUGCAUUCCUAUAUUUGGACAUCUUUCCUUUAUAGAACUUUUCACAUGGUGUCAGGGCCUGUCACUAGCUUGUGAAUCCUUUAAGAAAAGCAACCAUAUGAAAUCCAUCUUUGAAUUCUCAGUGUCUAGUGUAAUGCCUGUUGGGUGGAUGGAUGGAUAUAUGAAUGCAGAGUGAAUGAAUAAAUAGAUGCGGUUUCUCCUUGAGCUGUCAUGCUCUCUGCUGCCUCCUGGUGGCUAUUUGGUUUUCAACACCGCAUCUAAGGCACCGUGUGGAGCUGAGUCAGCAACAUCCUGCAACGGCUUCUUUCAGAUGACUCCUUCUCCAGCUUACACAAAACGUCUUCCUCUCAUUUUGGUAUUUCCACUCUCCACUUUCUCAUUACAUCAUCAAAUAAACCUUGGACACCUGGACACCAGGAUUUUAGAUUUCACAGCUCUCUUCUCAGGAUGUCAAGGUCCUGACCAAUUAUUCUGUCCCUUUGUCUCCCCAGACCUCAGAUGUUACAGCAGACUGGCCUGCUGCCUCCUUCUCCCCUACAUGGAGGGCGCUAAACACCUGGGGAGGAAACACUCAAGGAUACAUCUUGGCACCACUACAAAGUCAUGAUAUUUAACUCCAUCCUCCAUCCUUCGUCUUCCUCAUUCUCCUCUGUGAGCUUCUUACUCCUUCUGUUUCUCAUUGCAACAAUUCCAAACCAUUAGCUCUUCUCACAUCACCUGUCCCAUCACAACCCUUCUUUUCCCUGAGUUACCUUGACUCUUCUUUUUGAGACAAAAAUCAAGGUGCGAAACAAGCUGCCUCCAUCAUGUCCUCCUGCUACACUCCCCGGCCCUGUUUCUCACUGCUCCUCCGCCUAAAAGACCCCCCAUCCUCUUUGCUCUCUGUACCCCCUCCCAUUCACCUAAAAUUACUUUUUCUUUUUCCAACUCAAGAGUAAACCUUCCAUGAAGACUUUAUCAGCACCACUCAAUGUCCCAGGUGGCCCCAUUCCUCUGAGUUCUCAUGUCCCUGUAUUUCUCCUGCAACCAUCACACCCCAUGUGAUCACGUUUACUUAUAUUUAUCCAAUUACGUGUCUGUUCUGUUUCAGGGGCAAAUGAAGCCCAGAGACUGAGAUCGUCUUUGCUAACAGUGUAUUGAGCACAGAUUCACAGUGGGAAUCUGACAAGUGAACAGCACACAGGGUAAUGUCUCUUAGUAAGCCCGUUAAGAAACAACAUACACCGGGAGUUGCCACGGCGGCUCAGCGGAAACGAACCAGACUAGUAUCCAGGAAGAUGCAGAUUCGAUCCCUGGCCUCACUCAGUGGGAUAAGGAUCCAGCAUUGACGCAGCUGCAGCUUAGGUCACAACUGUGGCUUGGAUCUGAUCCUGACCUGAGAAUUCCAUAUGCCAUGGGGCAGCCAAAAAAGCGAAAAGAAACAAAAAGAGAGAGAGAGAGAGAUUAAUGACACAAUUAUUCCAGGCAAGGGGAGAUGAAAGAAAGAAAGUCCAAGUGCAGCUCGAGCGGUGCCUUUAUACGGGCCAGGCUGGUAUAUGGGAGAACCACUGCGAGCUGACUUCCAGCUGCCAGCUCAGAACAAGAGCCCCCUGUCGCCAGAGCUAGGGAAUGAAGGUGGGGGUGUCAGGGGGCAGGCGAGGCAGGGACCUUCCCCCUUGGCUGGCACCACAGCCCAGACCAGCUCAUCUCUGCGGCAGGGACACACGGGCCCUGUCUCCUGAGACCGUGCCCUCUGCCACCACUGCCAGCCCUGAGCAGCCUGGCCACAGCAGGACAAGUGCCCUGAGAUCUUCAGAGAGCUCAACUGGCAGACAAUGACUUCUUCCUGGAUGGAAACUCCCAGACACUCCUCACAAACCCCUCGGUAUUUAGAAUCUAACUAUCCUCUAGCCAUGGAGGCUUCCAACAUAUUCUUAUCAAUGAGCCCCCAUGGGCCCCUCGGCAGCUAAGCUGCUAAGCGCUCCUCAAGACAACAGAUAAGACAAUGUCAGCGUGAUGUGGUCUGCUUCAGUUUCACCAGAGCAACGUUGCCUCUAAACACAAAUUUUUUUGGUCUUUGUCAUAAAGAAGUGGAUGAAAUCCACUUACGUCAAGUGGAUCUGAAAUCAUAUCAAACCAGGACACAACAAUGUCUCUCUCCUGUAACUAGACUGGGUCCCCUGAGGAGAAUUACAGUGUCUAUGCGUCCUGUUAUCCCCAGCACUCUGGCAAGAUGCCUAGAAUGUUUCAAGAAAUGAUCAGAAGGAAAGAAAGAAGGAUAUCGGAGGUGGUGAGUGAUGCGGCCUGGCAGCCAGUGCACCCCCUCACCACACCCACCACACACACACACCCACCACACACACACACACACACCCCACCACCGGGUGUGGAGACUAAGGCUCGCCCCAGGCCCCAGGCAGCAGCUCAUGCCAGUCAAAAUGACAAGUGCACUGGCGUGUUCAUCCGAGAGCCCCGCCUCCUCACAUCCACUUCAGAAUCCGGAAGGCACUGCUGGCUACCUCCUCACUCCAGACCAUCUGGGCAGGUGGCACCAAGCCCACUUCCAAGGUCAGGUUCUUACUGCCCUGAACAUUCCAGAUUAUGCUGCAGAGUAAACUUCCUCUCUGAACUGUCACAGCAAGUCUUCAGAAUCAUGCUUGGUGCCUUCAUCACCCACGUCUCAUCUCAGUUCUCAGCUACAUGGCGGGGAUGUUUCCCCAGAGCAUCCUGUGAUCUUCUAACCGUCCCUGAGCACAAGGGAUGGUCUGGGAGGACAAGGAUGGCAGCACCCACUUAUGCUCCUUUUCUGUGGGAAGCAGAGCCGCAGCAAGUGGCCAGCGUUCUAGGAUCCUAGGGACUUCCUGUCGUGGCUCAGUGGAAACGGAUCUGACUAGCAUCCAUGAGGACGCAGGUUUCAUCCCUGGCCUCGUUCAGUGGGUUAAGGAUCCGGUGUUGCGGUGAGCUGUGGUAUAGGUUGCAGAUGUGGCUCGGAUCUGGCAUCGCUGUGGCUGUGGUAUAGGCAGGCAGCUACAGCUCUGAUUCGAUGCCUAGCCUGGGAACCUCUCCAUAUGCCAUGGGUGCAACCCUAAAAAGACCAAAAAAAUUAAAAAUUAAAAAAUAAAGGAAAAAAAAGAAAUCUGUACCGACAGCAGAAAAGGAGAGAUGCCACAAUAUGUUUCCUGUUGGCAUGAUUUUGGGCUGGAGUUUGAAGAUUCCUGUAAAUACCUGGGGACUGAUGCUGUGGUGAUGAAAGGCCAUAACCAACAUAUGGAUCACUGACGAUGGGCAGCCACGAGCAGCUCUGUACAAAUGAUAUCCGUCCUGGGCCAAAAUAAAAAGGACAGCCAUGUGCACACAGAGCUCCUAGGGACCAAGAUGGAGAAGGAAGCUGGCUUCACAGGAAACUGGCACAAACGCUCUUAUACACACUCAGUGCUGCUGUCAGACACUUAAUUUUCCUAUAUGUAAUUCUAUGCAGACCACUGAAGGCAAAUUUACUAAAACCAAAAACAACCACACAUAAAACACAUUCCCAAGCAAUUCUAUUAGAAGGUUGUCUGGACAUACAUCUCUACCUCUGCUGUCUUUUCCGGGGUGUUUGGGGAGAAGGGGAGAGGAGAUGGAAGGGAAUAGAAACAUUCCUUCUUGAAGACACAGCAGAAAGACCUUCUCUAUGAGGUCCCCCUUAACUGCCUCAACCCUCAGUGACCCUUCCUUCCCCUGAUAUGUAUAAUAAUCUGCAUUGUACCAUAUCCCAUACUGACUUGCAUUAUUAAAUACUCACUCAUGAUCCAAGAACUCAUCUCCCCAAUUACUGGCAAGGUCCUUGACGACAAGGACCACUUCUAUUCCUCCAGAUUACCUACCCCAGUGAUUGAAUACAGCAGAUAUUCAAAAGAUUUGAUUGCCCCCGGAAUGCCACGAGCAAAUAACCCCAAAUCACAAAUAUGACUUUGUUAUACAGUAUUAUGAAAUUUCAGGAAUAAAUCUAUCUCUGUAUUAAUGUUUCCCGCCUUGUAUUUCGCAAUUCCUGAGUACCUGGGGAUGGGAGAGGGGAGGGAGUUGGGGGUGGGGGAUGAACGUUAAAAUGUAUUAGGCCCGUGAAAAAAAAUGCCUACAUGAAAUUAAAAUAAACUGGACUGCUGAGUUUGCCUAAAUGGUAGAAGGUGUUUACAGAUGUCGUUUAAUCACUGGAGCUGGAAGUCCGAGUU
RNAcentral lists this long non-coding RNA (6121 nucleotides) under Sus scrofa (pig). Its description in RNAcentral is "lncRNA (ENSSSCG00060071427.1)". Lineage: Eukaryota; Metazoa; Chordata; Mammalia; Artiodactyla; Suidae. The record is from RNAcentral.